CUAGUUAUACCAACUUUAGUAACGACCGCAGGAUAGUAAUACAGAGAGCCACGCACUCAACCAAAACACCACUCUAUAACCACAAAUAAUGCUCAGAACAGCACCUAACUUCAUCAACAGGACAUAUAGGGUCACAGACAUAGUACUAUAUUCAGAGUUGUUCUAACUCCUAAGAAAACAUAAACUUAAGCGGGGGCGUUUCUCCACCUCUGUAGUCUAUAAGCUGGGCCAAUAAACUUCUACUGUAGUAAAAUGAAAAGGUAAAGGUGUUUUUAUUGAGCCGAAUUAUCAAUAAAAUCAUGAUUUUGUUAACAGGUAUAGAUUUAUGUGCUGUCGAGUUAGUAUAUUUGAACAAGA
Xyrichtys novacula (pearly razorfish) is the source of this 357-nucleotide non-coding RNA. The record is from the annotation of a GenBank genome assembly. NCBI's taxonomy places the organism in Eukaryota, Metazoa, Chordata, Actinopteri, Labriformes, Labridae.